GACGAACGCUGGCGGCGUGCUUAACACAUGCAAGUCGAACGGAAAGGCCCUGCUUGCAGGGUGCUCGAGUGGCGAACGGGUGAGUAACACGUGGUUGAUCUGCCCCUUACUUUGGGAUAAGCCUGGUAAACUGGGUCUAAUACUGGAUAGGACCAUGCUGUAGUCGGUGUGGUGGAAAGAUUAGUUUCGGUAGGGGAUGACCUCGCGGCCUAUCAGCUUGUUGUUGGGGUAAUGUCCUACCAAGGCGUAGACGGGUAGACGUUCUGAGAGGGUGGACAGCCAGAUUGGGAGUGAGAAACGACACAGAGAACUACGAGAGGCAGCAGAAGGGAAUAUUGCACAAUGGGCGGAAGCCUGAUGCAGCGACGGCGAAUGAGGAAUGACGGCAUUCGGGUGGUGAAAUACUUUCAGACAUGACGAAGCACUUGUGGUGAAGGUAGUAGUAGAAGAAGCACCGGAGAACUACGUG
Molecule: ribosomal RNA, 469 nt
Filed under: uncultured bacterium
Lineage: Bacteria
Description: partial 16S ribosomal RNA
Rfam family: Bacterial small subunit ribosomal RNA
Source: RNAcentral